GACGAACGCUGGCGGCGUGCUUAACACAUGCAAGUCGAACGGAAAGGCCCUGCUUUUGUGGGGUGCUCGAGUGGCGAACGGGUGAGUAACACGUGAGUAACCUGCCCUUGACUUUGGGAUAACUUCAGGAAACUGGGGCUAAUACCGGAUAGGAGCUCCUGCUGCAUGGUGGGGGUUGGAAAGUUUCGGCGGUUGGGGAUGGACUCGCGGCUUAUCAGCUUGUUGGUGGGGUAGUGGCUUACCAAGGCUUUGACGGGUAGCCGGCCUGAGAGGGUGACCGGCCACAUGGGGACUGAGGGACGGCCCAGACUCCUACGGGAGGCAGCGGGGGGGAGUAUUGCACAAUGGGGGGAAGCCUGAUGCAGCAACGCUGCGUGCGGGAUGACGGCCUUCGGGUUGUAAACCGCUUUCGCCUGUGACGAAGCGUGAGUGACGGUAAUGGGUAAAGAAGCACCGGCUAACUACGUG
RNAcentral lists this ribosomal RNA (468 nucleotides) under uncultured bacterium. RNAcentral describes it as "partial 16S ribosomal RNA". It matches the Rfam family "Bacterial small subunit ribosomal RNA", at positions 28 to 507 of the family's 1533-position model. The record is from RNAcentral.